This 310-nucleotide signal recognition particle RNA is filed under the name Promethearchaeota archaeon. RNAcentral describes it as "Candidatus Lokiarchaeota archaeon signal recognition particle sRNA". It matches the Rfam family "Archaeal signal recognition particle RNA". Lineage: Archaea; Promethearchaeati; Promethearchaeota. The record is from RNAcentral.
UGGCAAGUCUAGGCGGGGGGGUAGGGCUCCCCUACAAUAGCAAAAGCUCUAUAUGGCUAGCUGAAUACCCUUGUGAGGUAUUGAAAGAUAGUUCAAACGCCCCUUGGGACCCGUCGAAGCGACGUCUUGAAUGGUGUCUAAUCGCCGAGGUCUUCACCGGAGGGUAAGACAAGAAAGCGUAAAGAUCAACCCGGUUAGGCGCGGAAGCGAGCGUCCGUCCGUCUUGUUAGACACGCCUUCAAGGUAGCGGCGUGGAGGUAACCUUUGGGUAUGUGGGAUUAUUUUUCGUAUCGAAUAAGGGGGCUUGCCA